Non-coding RNA from Cajanus cajan (pigeon pea), 200 nucleotides. The record is from RefSeq and is a predicted model, not a curated record. Lineage: Eukaryota; Viridiplantae; Streptophyta; Magnoliopsida; Fabales; Fabaceae.
AUAAAAAAGUUUACUUAGUUCCUUACUUUUCUAAUGCUCAUUGGCAACUUCUGAUUAUUUGUCCUAUGGACAAUAUAUCUGUAUGCAUUUGUUCGAUGCACAAACCUCCUCCUGCAGACUUUAAACAAUUAUUAGAUAAGGCUAUGGAAGGAUACCAUAUACUUAAAGGUUCAAAGUUGAAGAAAAAAAUGCUUUGGGUC